GGCUUGUAGUCAUAUGCUUGUCUCAAAGAUUAAGCCAUGCAUGUCUAAGUAUAAGCAACUUUGUACUGUGAAACUGCAAAUGGCUCAUUAAAUCAGUUAUAGUUUAUUUGAUGGUUUUUGCUACAUGUAUAACUGUGGUAAUUCUAGAGCUAAUACAUGCAUUCAAGCCCCGACUUCUGGAAGGGGUGUAUUUAUUAGAUAAAAAUCAACUCUGUUGGUGAAUCAUAAUAACUUCUCGGACCGCAUGGCCUCGUGCUGGCGGUGCUUCAUUCAAAUAUCUGCCCUAUCAACUGCCGAUGGUAGGAUAGAGGCCUACCAUGGUUGCAACGGGUAACGGGGAAUAAGGGUUCGAUUCCGGAGAGGGAGCCUGAGAAACGGCUACCACAUCCAAGGAAGGCAGCAGGCGCGCAAAUUACCCAAUCCCAACACGGGGAGGUAGUGACAAUAUGUAACAAUAUACGGCCUUAUACGUCGUAUAAUUGGAAUGAGUACAAUUUAAAUCCCUUAACGAGGAACAAUUGGAGGGCAAGUCUGGUGCCAGCAGCCGCGGUAAUUCCAGCUCCNAUAGCGUAUAUUAAAGUUGUUGCAGUUA
RNAcentral lists this ribosomal RNA (592 nucleotides) under uncultured Ascomycota. RNAcentral describes it as "SSU rRNA". It matches the Rfam family "Eukaryotic small subunit ribosomal RNA", at positions 15 to 621 of the family's 1831-position model. The record is from RNAcentral. Lineage: Eukaryota; Fungi; Ascomycota.